AAAAGUUGUAUAUUUAAUUUGAUUUUAAACAUAUUUUAUUCAUUAAGAUAUGAAAAGGAUUGAGCAACAGGCACAGCCUAUAAAAGCUCUCUCCAUAUUACAUGUACAAGGUAUAAUUCAAUCACAACAACUGUAUUUAAAAUAAUGCAAUAUAGUGGAACAUGCAUGCUACUUGUGAGCACACACGAGCAAAUAUAUGUUAACAGGGUUACUUACUAAAUGCAAAAUAUAUUUAAAUAUAUAGGCAAUUAAUCAUCAGUUAUUUAAAGUACCUUGAAACAUGCAA
RNAcentral lists this long non-coding RNA (286 nucleotides) under Mytilus galloprovincialis (Mediterranean mussel). The record is from RNAcentral. Lineage: Eukaryota; Metazoa; Mollusca; Bivalvia; Mytilida; Mytilidae.